This 497-nucleotide ribosomal RNA is filed under the name uncultured bacterium. Its description in RNAcentral is "partial 16S ribosomal RNA". It matches the Rfam family "Bacterial small subunit ribosomal RNA", at positions 28 to 507 of the family's 1533-position model. The record is from RNAcentral.
GAUGAACGCUGGCGGCGUGCCUAAUACAUGCAAGACGAGCGAACGGACGAGAAGCUUGCUUCUCUGAUGUUAGCGGCGGACGGGUGAGUAACACGUGGAUAACCUACCUAUAAGACUGGGAUAACUUCGGGAAACCGGAGCUAAUACCGGAUAAUAUUUUGAACCGCAUGGUUCAAAAGUGAAAGACGGUCUUGCUGUCACUUAUAGAUGGAUCCGCGCUGCAUUAGCUAGUUGGUAAGGUAACGGCUUACCAAGGCAACGAUGCAUAGCCGACCUGAGAGGGUGAUCGGCCACACUGGAACUGAGACACGGUCCAGACUCCUACGGGAGGCAGCAGUAGGGAAUCUUCCGCAAUGGGCGAAAGCCUGACGGAGCAACGCCGCGUGAGUGAUGAAGGUCUUCGGAUCGUAAAACUCUGUUAUUAGGGAAGAACAUAUGUGUAAGUAACUGUGCACAUCUUGACGGUACCUAAUCAGAAAGCCACGGCUAACUACGUG